Molecule: ribosomal RNA, 655 nt
Filed under: Sphingomonas sanguinis
Lineage: Bacteria; Pseudomonadati; Pseudomonadota; Alphaproteobacteria; Sphingomonadales; Sphingomonadaceae
Description: bacterial SSU rRNA
Rfam family: Bacterial small subunit ribosomal RNA
Source: RNAcentral
UCAGAACGAACGCUGGCGGCAUGCCUAACACAUGCAAGUCGAACGAAGGCUUCGGCCUUAGUGGCGCACGGGUGCGUAACGCGUGGGAAUCUGCCCUUAGGUUCGGAAUAACAGCUGGAAACGGCUGCUAAUACCGGAUGAUGACGAAAGUCCAAAGAUUUAUCGCCUGAGGAUGAGCCCGCGUUGGAUUAGGUAGUUGGUGGGGUAAAGGCCUACCAAGCCGACGAUCCAUAGCUGGUCUGAGAGGAUGAUCAGCCACACUGGGACUGAGACACGGCCCAGACUCCUACGGGAGGCAGCAGUGGGGAAUAUUGGACAAUGGGCGAAAGCCUGAUCCAGCAAUGCCGCGUGAGUGAUGAAGGCCCUAGGGUUGUAAAGCUCUUUUACCCGGGAAGAUAAUGACUGUACCGGGAGAAUAAGCCCCGGCUAACUCCGUGCCAGCAGCCGCGGUAAUACGGAGGGGGCUAGCGUUGUUCGGAAUUACUGGGCGUAAAGCGCACGUAGGCGGCUUUGUAAGUCAGAGGUGAAAGCCUGGAGCUCAACUCCAGAACUGCCUUUGAGACUGCAUCGCUUGAAUCCAGGAGAGGUCAGUGGAAUUCCGAGUGUAGAGGUGAAAUUCGUAGAUAUUCGGAAGAACACCAGUGGCGAAGGCGGC